This 72-nucleotide transfer RNA is filed under the name Bos taurus (domestic cattle). It matches the Rfam family "tRNA". From Rfam's summary of the family: Transfer RNA (tRNA) molecules are approximately 80 nucleotides in length. Their secondary structure includes four short double-helical elements and three loops (D, anti-codon, and T loops). Further hydrogen bonds mediate the characteristic L-shaped molecular structure. tRNAs have two regions of fundamental functional importance: the anti-codon, which is responsible for specific mRNA codon recognition, and the 3' end, to which the tRNAs corresponding amino acid is attached (by aminoacyl-tRNA synthetases). tRNAs cope with the degeneracy of the genetic code in two manners: having more than one tRNA (with a specific anti-codon) for a particular amino acid; and 'wobble' base-pairing, i.e. permitting non-standard base-pairing at the 3rd anti-codon position. RNAcentral also lists the same sequence under 2 other names. Lineage: Eukaryota; Metazoa; Chordata; Mammalia; Artiodactyla; Bovidae. The record is from Rfam by way of RNAcentral.
UCCCUGGUGGCUCAGAUGGUAAAGUGUCUGUCUGCAAUGCAGGAGACCCAGGUUCGAUCCCUGGGUCGGGAA